Molecule: ribosomal RNA, 467 nt
Filed under: uncultured bacterium
Lineage: Bacteria
Description: partial 16S ribosomal RNA
Rfam family: Bacterial small subunit ribosomal RNA
Source: RNAcentral
GACGAACGCUGGCGGCGUGCUUAACACAUGCAAGUCGAACGGAAAGGCCUGCUUUUGUGGGGUGCUUGAGUGGCGAACGGGGGAGUAACACGUGAGUUACCUGCCCUUUACUUUGGGAUAACUUCAGGAAACUGGGGCUAAUACCGGAUAAGAGCUCCUGCUUCAUGGUGGGGGUUGGAAAGUUUCGGCGGUUGGGGAUGGACUUGCGGCUUAUCAGCUUGUUGGUGGGGUAGUGGCUUACCAAGGCUUUGACGGGUAGCCGGCCUGAGAGGGUGACCGGCCACAUUGGGACUGAGAUACGGCCCAGACUCCUACGGGAGGCAGCAGUGGGGAAUAUUGCACAAUGGGCGGAAGCCUGAUGCAGCAACGCCGCGUGCGGGAUGACGGCCUUCGGGUUGUAAACCGCUUUCGCCUGUGACGAAGCGUGAGUGACGGUAAUGGGUAAAGAAGCACCGGCUAACUACGUG